Non-coding RNA from Ictidomys tridecemlineatus (thirteen-lined ground squirrel), 1983 nucleotides. Lineage: Eukaryota; Metazoa; Chordata; Mammalia; Rodentia; Sciuridae. The record is from RefSeq and is a predicted model, not a curated record.
GAGCCACAUCUCCAGCCCCUCUGUUUAUUUCUUUAACCUAAGGGCUAUUUUAAAAAUGGCUUAACAAUGUUUGGGGGUUAGUGUUUUCUUUUUUGAAGGAGAAAGUUUUUCACUGUUAAUUUCAGGCUUUUUGCAAUAUAUUAAUAGGAUGUGACCUGUUAUGAUUUCUACUUUUAGGAAUUUGUUUUCUAAGGCCUGGCACAGUAGUGCAUACCUAUAAAUCCCAGCUGCUCAGAAGGAUGAUGAGGCAGGAGGAUUCCAAGUUUGAGGUCAGCCUGGACAACUUAGUGAGACCCUGUCUCAAAAUAGGGGUGGUGGUGUUAUAUUUAGAAGCAUUACAAUUUCAUAUCUUUUGGGCGUGGGUUUCUAUAUAUAGUGGACUCUAUUAGCCAACUAAGCCAAUUAAUCAAAAUCUUUCUGUCCUUGAGACCUGUUUAAAGCUUCCUUGUUCACGUAGUUUUGGCCCAUUUUUCUCUUUUUCUAUAAGUUCUUACUUUAUAUAUUUGUUGUAACUUUAUGUUCUGAAAGUCUAUUUCUGAAAGUCUAUCUAAUUUAAUACUAACUUCCUGAUUUCUUAAGUCCUUCCUAAUUCUAAGACUCAGAGAUUCUACCUCCAGAAAUGGAACUCAGAGAAUGCUGAGAUUCUGAUCUUCUGACUGAUGCUUAGCUAGGCAAUAUUGCUGAGCUUCUGGGUGGCACAACUGAUUACUCUGGGGUUUUUCUGCUGUUGCUAGCCCUGGACAUUAGUAUCCAUGUCACUGAUAACAGUUAAAUGUCCAAAAGGGUAAGAACAUGAUUUAACCAUUAACUCUUUAAAAACCUCCCUUUUUCCAGGUGGGGUGGACAGAGGCCUGUAAGCCAACAGCCUGGAGAGUUUGAGUAACAUAAUCUCGGAUUACUUCUCCAGCUUCAACACAAGUUCCUACCUCGCCUUCUUCGGCUGCGGCUUCUUUCAAGUCCGCAUCUCCAUCUCCAUCCGUUUCCUCUGGGAUUCCGUCGUUGUCGGUAGUCCCGGGGACACCGGGAGGAACGGUCGUCUCAUCUGACUCCCCUGUCUCUCCACCUUUGUCCGCCGGCGACUCUCGGGCAUUGUCCAUCGCCGCCGCGAUUGGAGCAGAGAUCUCAGAGCUGUCAGGUGCGGCGCUGCACAGUAGGUCAGGAGCUUACUUCCUGCUGUCGCGCUGCGAUGACAUCACCUCUACAGCUCCUCGGAGGGGUCAUUUUGAAGCGCGCUAAGUGACUUGAAGAGCUUUGGCUUUGUGGUAGUGGGAAGAAGAAAAAUAGGAAGUGUGCAUUCUCCUUUCUAGAAAACCAGCAUUUGUGAGGGAGAGCAGUUUUGUUCACUGAAAGACUCAUUUUUUUUCCUUUCCGCAUUUCUAAUAAUAUAAUGUUAACCCCUUCCUUAGCCUCUCUCCCUCAGAGUAAAGUUAGGGGACGGGGUUAAAACUCAGUUCCGUUGCAUGUUGGUGUCGGGGAUUGCAGCUACCUUUGGCUGGCAAACUUUUAAGCAGGGAUUCAGGCUUGUACCUUCCAAUUAGACUGUGGCCGCAGGCCUGUAUUUACAAUUGAAUGGUUAGCAUUUCCUUUCUGUUUCGCAACCACUUAAGCGGGAGUGGAGAUGGGAGAGGGACUGGGAGAGCCGAAGCAGAUUUAAUCUAAUUCACUUAUUCACUCCACAACUAUUGAUCGCUUACUUCGAGUCAGGAACAUUGCUAGUAUCGUGGAUCGACAGACAAUUUCUACUGAACCACUUUCUUUUUAUUUUUUUCUCCAGCUCAGCAGUAGUAACCAAACUUAAGAUCGAGUGCGGUUUCACAAACCUGACUUUUUCUUUUAAAAAUUAGUUUGGUUAAUUUCUUCAAAACUAGGAAGAAAGCCUACAAAGAGGGAGGUCUCUCUUUUACAAGUUUCACUUAAAUGAAUCUUUUCAUGGAGUGGCAAUGAUAUUUUUUAUUUUAACAAUUUCCUGUCUUCCAACAUUGA